UCCUCUAUCUAAGAGCACGUUCAACGCUGUCUCUUAAGUACGUAUUUAACGCUUAAACGUGAUUAAAAGAAAAAAAAAAAGACAAAAUCCGAAGCCACGUUCCUUAAUUAGGGGCGCUAUGAUACCGUAUGUUACGGGCAAGUGUCACACAAUAAUUGGAAAGGGCAACGGUGGAGACGCGUCUUCGUUUCAUCUUCUUUCUUUUCAGAAACCGUCUCGACGACGAGAAGGGCGAUUCCUCUGGCUCUCAGUGGCUCUUCUCUCGUCGACUCCUCGGCGACGUCUCCUCUCAUCGAGAAAGGAAAAAUACGACGUCUCUAUCGAUGGCUCUGCUCGAGGAAGGAUGACGGUGAUUUGGAUGGAGAGCUUGAGUUGGUGGCUCUCCUCGGCGAUACGGCGAUGUCUCAAACGGUGGGUCUCGUCGACGAAGGAAAGCGACGAUCUGACAAUUGGUGGCUCUCAGAGACGCAGAUAAACGCCGCCGAGUGUUAAUCUUUGUUUUGGUUGUUGAUCAAAAGUCGGUACAUGGAUGGAUCAAGACGCACGAUCCAGGUUCAAGACGAAGAUAAACGGCGUCUGUUGCUCAGGCGUAUGAAACGUCGGGAGAUGGAUGGAUGAAGACGCAUGAUCCAGGUUCGCCAGACCAAAGGCGUACUCUUGUUGAUAGAGAUCUGUGACUCUUUUCAAAAACCACCACCACCUUAGCUCCUUGUACCGCCACGCCGUGACUCCUUACACAUCCACCGUCGUAACUCCUUGCAUCUCCACCGCCGUAUUUCCUUACACCGCCACCGCCGUUACUCCUUGCCGAAGGCCCCGCCAUUGCCACCGCCGCCCCCACAAUUUCUUCACUACCAAAUACAACUCCUUCCCUGUCACUGCUGUAACUCCUUGUAGCCGGAAUCCACUCUACACCGGCAUCGUAUUCGACUGUUCUAUUUGUAUUUGUAUUAUAAUGUUUAUACAAUUAUAAACGUAAUUGUUUAUAUGUAAAUAUGUAAUACAUAUUUUAUAAUUUUAAUAUUAUUAGUUUUUUUUGCA
This is a long non-coding RNA of Brassica napus (rape), 1041 nucleotides long. RefSeq lists it as uncharacterized. NCBI's taxonomy places the organism in Eukaryota, Viridiplantae, Streptophyta, Magnoliopsida, Brassicales, Brassicaceae. The transcript is spliced from 4 exons. The record is from RefSeq and is a predicted model, not a curated record.